Molecule: long non-coding RNA, 1941 nt
Filed under: Homo sapiens (human)
Lineage: Eukaryota; Metazoa; Chordata; Mammalia; Primates; Hominidae
Description: non-protein coding lnc-RBMS1-7:1
Source: RNAcentral
UCUUACCUACGGAUGACACUCCUGUGCAAGAAGAUGGAGAGGCAGAAUUUCAAAUGGUGGCAGUGAAACCUAAAGCCACCGGGGGCUUUGGAUGUGAGCCUAUCAGAGGCUCAAAAUGGAAAUGUGUCAGAAGAAACAGUGGGGCAUGGAAAAGUUAAAAAAAUCCCUAAAACAUGUUAUGAUUGUGGGCUUGUCAGAAGCCCCAAAUGGAGACAUGUCUAAAGAAAUAGUAGAAAAUGUAAAAGUUAAAGAAAACUAGAAAUCUAUCAUACUAACCAGUGCAGAAGCAGCAAUUCAGUCUCUAGAUUCGAAAUCAAAAAAGAAAAGAAGAACAAGAGAAAAAUAGUGACUAAUGCUGGGCGUGAUACAAAAAAAGCAAAAACUGAAAACAAAGGGGAAUCCGAAGAAGAUGGUAUCGAGGCUCCUGAAGAAACAGAAAACUGGGGGGAAGCCAGACAAUGAGAGAGAUGAGAAUACUUCAUUUCUUCUCUAAUUUUGUCAGUGAAAACACUUUGAAGGCAAUAAAAGAAAUGGGCUUUACCAACAUGACUGAAAUUUAGCAUAAAAAUGAUGGGCCACUUAUGGAAGGCAGGAUCUUCCAGCAGCUACACAAACCAGCAGUGGCAAAAACCCUGGCAUUUCUCAUCCCUGCAUUUGAACUAAUUGUUAAGUUAAAAUUCAUGUCCAGAAAUGGAACAGGAGUCUUUAUUCUCUCACUAAUUAAACAGCUUGUCCUGAGACUCUUGGUGUUCUUAAGGAGCUAAUGACUCACCAUAUGCACAUGCAUGGGUUGAUAAUGGGUGGCAGUAACAGAUCUGCUGAAGUACAGAAGCUUGCAAAUGGGAUCAGCACUGGUGGUCACACCAGGCCAUCUCCUGGGCUGUAUGCAGAAUUCUGCAGGAUUUAAGUAUAAAAACCUAUGGCGUCUGGUUAUGGAUGAGGCUAAUGAUAUCUUGGAUGCUGGGUUUGAAGAGAAAUUAAAGCAAAUUAUUAAACUUCUUUGAACAUGGAGACUAUGCCCUUUUCCGCCACACAAACUCAAAAACUUGAAGACCUGGCAAGGAUUUCUCCAAAAAAAAAAAAAAAGGAACAAAUGUAUGCUGGUGUUGAUAAUGAUAAAGCUACUGCAACAGUGGAUAGUCUCAAGCGGGGAUAUGUUGUUCGUCCCUCUGAAAAAGGAUUCCUUUUGCUCUUUAUAUUCCUUAAGAACUGAAAGAAGAAACUGAUGGUCUUCUUUUCAUCCUGUAGGUCCAUAAAAUACCACUAUGAGUUGCGGAACUACAUUGACUUGCCUACCUCAGCCAUUCAUUUCCAGAAGCAAAAUUACGUGUAGAAUUACAUUUUUUCCAGUUCUGUAAUGCAGAUUCAGGGAUAUUGUGUACAGAUGAGGCAGGGAGAGAGCUAGAUAUUCCUGGCUGGAUUGUUCAGUAUUAUCCUCCAGAUGACCCUAAGGAAUAUGUUCAUCGUCGGGGGACAAUAGCCAGGGACCUAAACGAAAGAGGGCAUGCCUUGCUCAGUUUUUGCCCAGAAGAAUUGGGUUUUGUUUGUUACCUGAAGCAACCCAAGGUUCCAUUAAGUGAAUUUGACUUUUCCUGGCCUAAAAUUUCUGACAUUCAGUCUUGGUUUGUAAAAUUAAUGAAAAAGAACUACUUUCUUCAUAAGUCAGCCCAGGAAGCAUAUAAGUCAUACAUACGAGUAAAUGAUUCUCAUUCUCUGAGACAGAUUUUUAAUGUUAAUAACUUAAAUUUGCCUCAAGUUGCUCUGUCAUUCGGUUUCAAGGUGCCUCCUUCUGUUGAUGUGAAUGUGAACAGCAAUGAAGGCAAGCAUAAAAAGAGAGGAGGCGAGAGUAGAUUCAGCUACCAGAAAACCAAGAAAGUUAAGUCCAUAAUCUUUAAAAACAUUAGCACGAAAUCAUCUGAUAGCAGGCAGUUCUGUCACUGA